RNAcentral lists this ribosomal RNA (272 nucleotides) under uncultured bacterium. RNAcentral describes it as "partial 16S ribosomal RNA". It matches the Rfam family "Bacterial small subunit ribosomal RNA", at positions 524 to 794 of the family's 1533-position model. The record is from RNAcentral.
UACAUGUGGGGCAAGCGUUGUUCGGAAUCACUGGGCAUAAAGGGUGCGUAGGCGGCAUGAUACGUCUUGGGUGAAAUCCUGCGGCCCAACCGCGGGUCUGCCUGAGAUACGGUCAAGCUGGAGUGCGUGAGGGGUGACUGGAACGCGUGGUGUAGCGGUGAAAUGCGUAGAUAUCACGCGGAAGGCCAACGGCGAAGGCAGGUCACUGGCACGCAACUGACGCUGAGUGCACGAAAGCGUGGGGAGCAAACAGGAUUAGAAACCCUUGUAGU